This is a long non-coding RNA of Oncorhynchus tshawytscha (Chinook salmon), 1418 nucleotides long. NCBI's taxonomy places the organism in Eukaryota, Metazoa, Chordata, Actinopteri, Salmoniformes, Salmonidae. The record is from Ensembl.
CUGGAAUGGACAGGCCAACCGUUUUUUGUCAGAGUUGAAUUUUCGUACCAGGUUAAGAAAAUUUCCGGAGCGGGUUAAGAUAAUUAACGUGGCAGGUUAGGUGAAUUAGGUUAGGUGAAUUAGGUUAGGUUAGUUUAGUUUAGUUUAGGUUAGGUUAGGACAGCGGUUAGCUGAAAUGCAAAAAAAAUAAAAGCUGUACUCUUUCCAGCCAUGACGGUGUUUCCCCCGACGAUGGAUAUGAAAACGUUUGAAUCGCGUGUGGCAACCAACUCAAUCAAAAAUAUUAAGAUGUAACCGUACCCAAAAUACAAUUCAAGGCGAUACAUUCCAUGCCACUGAAGAUGCUUGAUAUCUCAGAGCAAGCAAAAGCCUCUAUGUCAUUCAACUGUUGACAUUGACAAUGCAACAUACCCUAUACAGUCGGCCUAUAUCCUAUAUGUUAUAACUAUGAGAUAUGCAAUCUGAAAUUAAUGAUGAUGUGUGUGUAUGAAACAUGGUUGCAAUGUCAACAGUUUGAAGAUCAUCAAGUUGUCACUGCCUCUUUGUGUGCACUUCCUCGCGCAGACCAUAGAAGAGGAUUGAUUGCACAAAUGAGAGCUCAGCAGGGCCCUCGCACAGGUGUCAGGUAACCGCACAGGUAAAAUGAGCCGACCUGGGAAGAAGACUGCAAAAUGAAGAUGGAAUGUAAGACCUAACCUGACCUAUAAACCAGUUGGAGAGAGAGAGAGCAGUUGAUUUGAAUGGAAAAUAACAAUAGGCCUCAUGAUGGGCCACAUAAAGGCAGAUGACAGGUCACCGUUACAUGCUAAGUUAACAUUUAAUAUUACACUUUGAAUACACCGGCAGCAGUAUCUGUCUCAGAUAUUGCAAUAAGUUUCAUCACUCUUACAAAUCCAUUGUCAUAUGUAUGUAAACCUAGGAUAAAGUGAUGCUUUCUGAGAUAUAUAAUACUGCUCUAAUUAUUAUUCUGUGAUGGAGAUGAUCCAGGCUGUAUCACAACCGGCCGUGAUUGGGAGUCCCAUAGGGCCGCACAUAAUUGGCCCAGCAUCGUCCGGGUUUGGCUGGUGUAGGCCGUCAUUGUAAAUAAGAGUUUAGUCUUAACUGACUUGCCUAGUUAAAUAAAGUUUUUUUUUUUUAAAUGUGGUGCCCCUGGCCUGAAAAUUAUGAAAUUGAAAGAGCAUGUAGUGCAGGCCUACACAUAAAGGAGUUCUAGCGCCCCCUUGUGUCCAGCAGGAUACAUUUGCUCACAUUGUAUAUAGAUUUAUUUUUCUACUGUAUUAUUGACUGUAUGUUUGUUUAUCUCCAUGUGUAACUCUGUCUUGUUAUAUGUGUCGAACUGCUUUGCUUUAUCUUGGCCAGGUCGCAGUUGUAAAUGAGAACUUGUUCUCAACUUGCCUGCCUGGUUAAAUAAAGGUGAA